This 63-nucleotide transfer RNA is filed under the name Salmo salar (Atlantic salmon). It matches the Rfam family "tRNA", at positions 6 to 65 of the family's 71-position model. Rfam says of the family: Transfer RNA (tRNA) molecules are approximately 80 nucleotides in length. The record is from Rfam by way of RNAcentral. Lineage: Eukaryota; Metazoa; Chordata; Actinopteri; Salmoniformes; Salmonidae.
CGUGGCUCAGUUGGUAGAGCAUUGCACUUGCAAAGCCAAGAGUCGUGGGUUUGAUUCCCACUG